GGAACGUGCAGCUCGUCUGGAGUUUCUCCAGUCUCCGAGAGAAGGAGGUUACUGAGGAAUGGACUUUCUGAUCGCCAAGGUUUCCCACUUUACAGCUGGGGAAACUGAGGCUCGCAGAGGUUACAUCACAGCUGAGAGUUACGUCAUAAUAGAUCAUGGGCACAUAGCAAGUGCCUCCUGACUUUGCCCACAGGGAUUGAGUGCCUCUGUCAUCUUUGUCAUCUCCCCAGCCCCCUGCUUCCAGCUGUGCUAGGCUUGGCCCCUCCCUCCAGAAGCAGGCUGCACCUGGUCCCACAGGUUAUCACACCAGGACAGAGGAGAGAGUUCCAGAGGCCGGGGCCUCCGUUUACUCUCCUACCCUGGCCGAGCCACCAUCAUCACUCCUAUCCUACCUCCUCGAACCCUGAAACCCAAGGAGAUGCCCAUCUCCUUAUCGCCUUUUGAUCUACAUUGGAGGAAGAGAGGCCCAAGUGAAGUGGAAGGACUGGGCCUUGUGUGUGCCUUAUCCAGCUCAAAGGCGUCACCAGCUCCAAGACAGCGUGACUAGAAUUUGGAAGUCAUCCUUCGUGUCAACUCCCUACACCGUCCAACUGGCCACCAAGCCCCAUCCUUUCUGCAGCAUGAGUGGUUUGAAAGUACCCGCUUUUCUUUAUACUCGGAUUGCUCCAGACUCAACUGAGGGCUUUUUAAGCCAGUCCCUGAGACUACUGCAACAAAGACUGGUUCCCCUGGCUCCAGGGGAGCACACCCCUGACACCCCCUCCCCCGUCCUUCCUCUGUGCUUCACUGAGAGGCAGUUCAGAACACAGGUUGGAACAUGCCACUCUCAUGCUCAAAAACCUUUGAUGGCUCCCCAUUGCCAGCAGGAUAAAGCCCCAACGUUGCCUGGCAUUUACAGCCUGCCCUGAUCUCGUGCCAGCCUGGGCCCCCACUACACGCUUCACCCCCUUCCACUCCAGCCACAUCCAGUGGCUUGUUUCGCCCGAGUCCUGCUGAGCGCUUUCAUGACGACCACCUUGGCUCACAGACAGGCUUGUUCCCGGCCCUUCUGGUGUUGUGAGGGAGAAAGAUUAAUCACAUAAUCCCAUA
Equus quagga is the source of this 1089-nucleotide long non-coding RNA. RefSeq lists it as uncharacterized. The transcript has 5 exons. Lineage: Eukaryota; Metazoa; Chordata; Mammalia; Perissodactyla; Equidae. The record is from RefSeq and is a predicted model, not a curated record.